This 331-nucleotide ribosomal RNA is filed under the name uncultured bacterium. RNAcentral's name for it is "bacterial SSU rRNA". It matches the Rfam family "Bacterial small subunit ribosomal RNA", at positions 568 to 898 of the family's 1533-position model. The record is from RNAcentral.
CGUGUAGGCGGGUCUUUUAAGUCAGGGGUGAAAUGCCAAGGCUCAACCUUGGAACUGCCUUUGAUACUGGAGAUCUUGAGUCCGGGAGAGGUGAGUGGAACUGCGAGUGUAGAGGUGAAAUUCGUAGAUAUUCGCAAGAACACCAGUGGCGAAGGCGGCUCACUGGCCCGGAACUGACGCUGAGACGCGAAAGCGUGGGGAGCAAACAGGAUUAGAUACCCUGGUAGUCCACGCUGUAAACGAUGGAUGCUAGCCGUUGGGGAGCUUGCUCUUCAGUGGCGCCGCUAACGCAUUAAGCAUCCCGCCUGGGGAGUACGGUCGCAAGAUUAAA